AGACGGGCGUCCCGAGCGGAGCAGAGACGCUGGCAAUGGAUCAGUGAAGGAAAUGGCUGACAAAAUGGCGUCCGGAGUCAGCUGACUGGAGGCUGAAGCGAGAUUCUCAUGUGGGGAUGAGAGGAAUUAAAGUUUUUUCCCCAGAUGGAUCAUUCUGUCAGACUGAAGAGGAUCCAUUAAAACUGAUCCCUGAUUUAAUGGCAGAUCCAGAGAAAUAUAAGGGAGGUAAAGACCCGUUUCACACCCACAACUGGCUGCUGUGACUGCGGAGAAGCAGCUUUGGAGGCUAUCUGAGGUUUUGUUAGGAAAUGUGAAAUAAAAAAAGAGCAGGAGAGGCUGAAACCUUAAGAAGUUAAAAGAUAGAGGCAAACAAAGUCAGGAUAGGAUCUUUAUUCAAGUCUCAGCUAAGUGAUAGAAAUGCUUUACCACUUUACAUAGCACUAAAAAGACACGUUUUAUUCACAGGACAGAAGGAUGUCAGAAUGAGCUCAACAGGCCGUUUUCAGUCCGUUCUGCCUCUCGGUUACUGAAAGCCAAAAGUUCUGGUGUUGGAUCCGCAUGGAUCCUCGCCUCAGACAGAACUUGAAUCCUACAGAAGAUCAAGUGGAUCACAGAUGGAAACGUUUGUCGUUAUACGUAAUGUUGUGUUACCAUGAUCUAGACUAGAUAAUUUAAAAAAUAUAUUUACCUUUAAAAAAAAUCAAACUCACAAAUAUGACUUCAUCACUCUUACAUUUCCAUACAGACAGACAGGAGGCCUUCGUGAUGUUUGGCAGGCUUUAUAAAAUGAAGCAAAGUGAUGUAAGAAAAUCCUCCGAGCAGCUGAUCAACACAAAAAUCUUGUUUCUUUUUUCCGUUUGAACUCAAGUUUCAUCUCAUACCACCUUCGAGUCCGGGAAAGGUUAAAAAGAUCAUUAACGUACUCGUGGCGUGAAAUAUCAACAUAACGGUUUAUCUUUUACGGGAUCGGAGGCUGCGGGUGAGGAUCCGGGUCAGUGUUGUGCAGAAGAAGUACACGUCAGAAAUAAAAAAGGGGCUUCCUAGCAUGCUGUACAAAAGCUGUUGAGGAACAACAGAAGAAACGGCGUGAGUUUAGAAGCUUUUUGGUUUCGCUGUACCACAAAAUGCCAAAAACGUCUACGCUGAUGUAACAAAUGGUGUGUUCUGCAGUGUUUUGGGGUUGGUGGGAGGGGUCUGACGUCAAGAUGAGGCCGCCAUCAUUUAGCACUUGGUCCGCUGCAUGUGGGGGGGCACAGAGUCCUUUAGCUUUCUAUCGCGGGCUGCUCUGCAGCAGCUUCCUCGUAGGGGCCUGUCUGUUGUUCAGCUGGGCUGUCCGGGCUGUGCCUGCAAAAAAAAAAAAAAA
Molecule: long non-coding RNA, 1363 nt
Organism: Oryzias melastigma (Indian medaka)
Lineage: Eukaryota; Metazoa; Chordata; Actinopteri; Beloniformes; Adrianichthyidae
Exons: 2
Source: RefSeq, a predicted model, not a curated record